This is a long non-coding RNA of Portunus trituberculatus (swimming crab), 806 nucleotides long. RefSeq lists it as uncharacterized. Lineage: Eukaryota; Metazoa; Arthropoda; Malacostraca; Decapoda; Portunidae. The transcript has 4 exons. The record is from RefSeq and is a predicted model, not a curated record.
UAGAGGGUGUGAGCUCUUACUCGCCUUCCCUCAUACUUUCCUUUGGAUUUCUUGUGGUUAUCCGUGUAUCAUCGAGCUGGUUAUCUUCGUGGAGGUCUGUCAGUACCGCUGGAACAUGGUGUUACCGAUCUCACAUCACUGGUUCAUUUGCUGCUGUGGCUAUUUGGUCACUGCACUUGUUGAGGCUCCAAGGGUUCAGGGUUCAGGGUUCGAAUCGCCAGGCGGAGGGAGGCAAUUCGGCCGGCUCUCCUUGUGUCCUUCCUCUCCCAAGGCCUCUGCUCGCUCAACACACAAUAGGUGGGCCGAUCUGAUGGCAUUCGCAGAAGAGGAAGGAGGGAGAGGUGGAGAAGACGACGAAGGAUAAUGAUGAUGAUGAGGAAAUUAAUGUUUUACCUCUUUGUUGUUAAUUUUGAUAAGGCUCAAGGCCAUGGGUGGGUGUGGGUGAGCAGUGUUCCGGGUUGGGAUGUCGUCUGACCCUUGACCUGACCCGGCCACGUGGGCAGAGGUCAGUAAGUGAUGCUGUACCAGUGUCUAUUAAUCAUUGUGCAGCAUUUGUCUGUGUUAUGUGAUGUGUGCUGGUCUGGGUGAUACAUAAUUACAAAUGCAUGUGAAAGGGAACGGUAAAUUGUAAUACGUUCUUUUGUUGGGAAAAGUAUGUAGCUGCUAAAAGUUAUAUGAAGGAUUUUUUGUGUGUUUGAUUUGCUGAUGUUGAGUGAAAUGUGACGCCUAUGAUUAUUAUUACUGUUGUUAUUAUUAUUAUUAUUAUUAUUAUUAUUAUUAUUAUUAUUAUUAUUAUUAUUAUUAUU